Molecule: ribosomal RNA, 161 nt
Filed under: Schoenoplectus nipponicus
Lineage: Eukaryota; Viridiplantae; Streptophyta; Magnoliopsida; Poales; Cyperaceae
Description: 5.8S ribosomal RNA
Rfam family: 5.8S ribosomal RNA
About the family: 5.8S ribosomal RNA (5.8S rRNA) is a component of the large subunit of the eukaryotic ribosome.
Source: RNAcentral
UAUGACUCUCGGCAACGGAUAUCUCGGCUCUCGCAUCGAUGAAGAACGUAGCGAAAUGCGAUACGUGGUGUGAAUUGCAGAAUCCCGUGAACCAUCAAGUCUUUGAACGCAAGUUGCGCCCGAGGGACCCUCCCGAGGGCACGCCUGCCUGGGCGUUAGAA